RNAcentral lists this ribosomal RNA (1346 nucleotides) under uncultured bacterium. Its description in RNAcentral is "partial 16S ribosomal RNA". It matches the Rfam family "Bacterial small subunit ribosomal RNA", at positions 28 to 1381 of the family's 1533-position model. The record is from RNAcentral.
GACGAACGCUGGCGGCGUGCUUAACACAUGCAAGUCGAACGGAAAGGCCCUGCUUUUGUGGGGUGCUCGAGUGGCGAACGGGUGAGUAACACGUGAGUAACCUGCCCUUGACUUUGGGAUAACUUCAGGAAACUGGGGCUAAUACCGGAUAGGAGCUCCUGCUGCAUGGUGGGGGUUGGAAAGUUUCGGCGGUUGGGGAUGGACUCGCGGCUUAUCAGCUUGUUGGUGGGGUAGUGGCUUACCAAGGCUUUGACGGGUAGCCGGCCUGAGAGGGUGACCGGCCACAUUGGGACUGAGAUACGGCCCAGACUCCUACGGGAGGCAGCAGUGGGGAAUAUUGCACAAUGGGCGGAAGCCUGAUGCAGCAACGCCGCGUGCGGGAUGACGGCCUUCGGGUUGUAAACCGCUUUCGCCUGUGACGAAGCGUGAGUGACGGUAAUGGGUAAAGAAGCACCGGCUAACUACGUGCCAGCAGCCGCGGUGAUACGUAGGGUGCGAGCGUUGUCCGGGUUUAUUGGGCGUAAAGGGCUCGUAGGUGGUUGAUCGCGUCGGAAGUGUAAUCUUGGGGCUUAACCCUGAGCGUGCUUUCGAUACGGGUUGACUUGAGGAAGGUAGGGGAGAAUGGAAUUCCUGGUGGAGCGGUGGAAUGCGCAGAUAUCAGGAGGAACACCAGUGGCGAGGGCGGUUCUCUGGGCCUUUCCUGACGCUGAGGAGCGAAAGCGUGGGGAGCGAACAGGCUUAGAUACCCUGGUAGUCCACGCUGUAAACGGUGGGUACUAGGUGUGGGGUCCAUUCCACGGGUUCCGUGCCGUAGCUAACGCUUUAAGUACCCCGCCUGGGGAGUACGGCCGCAAGGCUAAAACUCAAAGGAAUUGACGGGGCCCCGCACAAGCGGCGGAGCAUGCGGAUUAAUUCGAUGCAACGCGUAGAACCUUACCUGGGUUUGACAUGGAUCGGGAGUGCUCAGAGAUGGGUGUGCCUCUUUUGGGGUCGGUUCACAGGUGGUGCAUGGCUGUCGUCAGCUCGUGUCGUGAGAUGUUGGGUUAAGUCCCGCAACGAGCGCAACCCUUGUACACUGUUGCCAGCACGUUAUGGUGGGGACUCAGUGGAGACCGCCGGGGUCAACUCGGAGGAAGGUGGGGAUGACGUCAAGUCAUCAUGCCCCUUAUGUCCAGGGCUUCACGCAUGCUACAAUGGCUGGUACAGAGAGUGGCGAGCCUGUGAGGGUGAGCGAAUCUCGGAAAGCCGGUCUCAGUUCGGAUUGGGGUCUGCAACUCGACCUCAUGAAGUCGGAGUCGCUAGUAAUCGCAGAUCAGCAACGCUGCGGUGAAUACGUUCCCGGGGCU